GUUAUGAAUAGGUCCUCUGAACUUUGGGUCAAAUUUCCUUGGUUCACCGUAGGGAGGCGCAGAGGCUUCUCCUUUCCUCGCCAUCGUCCCCCGAUGCCCUCUGUGCUACAGUAGCCCGCCGAUCAGCGCACUCUUUGUUGCCGUGAAGGCAUGAGAGGAGGUAGCGGCCGCGCAGCCCCGCUCCGCUCCGCUCCGCCGCUGGGAACGCCGCCCGCGCCCCCCGCCGACCCUCCUGUCCCGCCGGCACCGCGGCCGACGCUUGCGCCGAGCUCGCGGGGGCGGUGCCCGAGCCGUGGGGGGGCGGCGGGCAGAGGGGGGCGCCGAGGGCAGGCGCAGGGCCGCAGGACGGCCCGCAGCCGCCCGCAAGCCCCUGCUCGGGCGCACCGCUCUGAC
Molecule: long non-coding RNA, 393 nt
Filed under: Gallus gallus (chicken)
Lineage: Eukaryota; Metazoa; Chordata; Aves; Galliformes; Phasianidae
Source: RNAcentral